UACGUAGGGAGCAAGCGUUGUCCGGAAUCAUUGGGCGUAAAGAGCUCGUAGGCGGCUUGUCACGUCGGAUGUGAAAGCCCGGGGCUUAACCCCGGGUCUGCAUUCGAUACGGGCUAGCUAGAGUGUGGUAGGGGAGAUCGGAAUUCCUGGUGUAGCGGUGAAAUGCGCAGAUAUCAGGAGGAACACCGGUGGCGAAGGCGGAUCUCUGGGCCAUUACUGACGCUGAGGAGCGAAAGCGUGGGGAGCGAACAGG
RNAcentral lists this ribosomal RNA (253 nucleotides) under uncultured bacterium. RNAcentral's name for it is "partial 16S ribosomal RNA". It matches the Rfam family "Bacterial small subunit ribosomal RNA", at positions 524 to 776 of the family's 1533-position model. The record is from RNAcentral.